RNAcentral lists this ribosomal RNA (540 nucleotides) under uncultured bacterium. RNAcentral's name for it is "bacterial SSU rRNA". It matches the Rfam family "Bacterial small subunit ribosomal RNA", at positions 22 to 608 of the family's 1533-position model. The record is from RNAcentral.
GCUCAGAACGAACGCUGGCGGCAAGCCUAACACAUGCAAGUCGAACGAGAUCUUCGGGUCUAGUGGCGCACGGGUGCGUAACGCGUGGGAAUCUGCCCUUUGGUUCGGAAUAACAGUUGGAAACGACUGCUAAUACCGGAUGAUGACGAAAGUCCAAAGAUUUAUCGCCAGAGGAUGAGCCCGCGUAGGAUUAGCUAGUUGGUGUGGUAAAGGCGCACCAAGGCGACGAUCCUUAGCUGGUCUGAGAGGAUGAUCAGCCACACUGGGACUGAGACACGGCCCAGACUCCUACGGGAGGCAGCAGUGGGGAAUAUUGGACAAUGGGCGAAAGCCUGAUCCAGCAAUGCCGCGUGAGUGAUGAAGGCCUUAGGGUUGUAAAGCUCUUUUACCCGGGAUGAUAAUGACAGUACCGGGAGAAUAAGCUCCGGCUAACUCCGUGCCAGCAGCCGCGGUAAUACGGAGGGAGCUAGCGUUGUUCGGAAUUACUGGGCGUAAAGCGCACGUAGGCGGCUUUGUAAGUUAGAGGUGAAAGCCUGGAGC